RNAcentral lists this small nuclear RNA (668 nucleotides) under Saccharomyces cerevisiae (brewer's yeast). The stretch from base 101 to 668 matches the Rfam family "Yeast U1 spliceosomal RNA". From Rfam's summary of the family: U1 is a small nuclear RNA (snRNA) component of the spliceosome (involved in pre-mRNA splicing). The record is from RNAcentral. Lineage: Eukaryota; Fungi; Ascomycota; Saccharomycetes; Saccharomycetales; Saccharomycetaceae.
CGUAUAAAUAGAGAGAAGAAGUUCCACUUUAAUAGAACUAUUUUACAAACAUACUUUUAGCGUUAAAAUAUAGUUUUUUCUUGAAUUUUUUUAAAAUCCUAUACUUACCUUAAGAUAUCAGAGGAGAUCAAGAAGUCCUACUGAUCAAACAUGCGCUUCCAAUAGUAGAAGGACGUUAAGCAUUUAUCAUUGAACUAUAAUUGUUCAUUGAAGUCAUUGAUGCAAACUCCUUGGUCACACACACAUACGGCGCGGAAGGCGUGUUUGCUGACGUUUCCAUUCCCUUGUUUCAAUCAUUGGUUAAUCCCUUGAUUCCUUUGGGGAUUUUUGGGUUAAACUGAUUUUUGGGGCCCUUUGUUUCUUCUGCCUGGAGAAGUUUGACACCAAAUUCAAAUUGGUGUUAGGGGAGCUGGGGCCUUUCAAAAGAGAGCUUUGUAGAGGCAUUCUUUUUGACUACUUUUCUCUAGCGUGCCAUUUUAGUUUUUGACGGCAGAUUCGAAUGAACUUAAGUUUAUGAUGAAGGUAUGGCUGUUGAGAUUAUUUGGUCGGGAUUGUAGUUUGAAGAUGUGCUCUUUUGAGCAGUCUCAACUUUGCUCGUUCCCGUUAUGGGAAAAAUUUUGGAAGGUCUUGGUAGGAACGGGUGGAUCUUAUAAUUUUUGAUUUAUUUU